RNAcentral lists this long non-coding RNA (1790 nucleotides) under Canis lupus familiaris (dog). Its description in RNAcentral is "lncRNA (ENSCAFG00000052526.1)". The record is from RNAcentral. Lineage: Eukaryota; Metazoa; Chordata; Mammalia; Carnivora; Canidae.
CUCAGGAGGCCUGUAACCCUGCCUACGUUCCUGCUAGGCCCACCGGCCUCACUGAGCCCCGUGACUGGAGGGUCUCCAGGCUGUGGUCUUCAACUUGCUUUGUGUGCGCAGAUAGGAAGACUUGUCCCCUCGGAGCAUCUGGUUCUUCCUCUGCAGAAGAACCAGGGGUUAUAUCAUCUUCCUGGGGAGCAGUCAGAAGGAUUCAAGGGACUGGCAGGUCAGCCUGGAGCCAGGUGGACUCCUGCAUGUGUGGCCGUGAGGACUGUUCCUCCCAGCGCCUGGCCUCUGACACGCAGGCUCAGGAGUGCCCGAGAGGCAGAGCGAUGGGCGAAGUCCGGAGAUGGGCCUGGCUGUCCACGGGGUGGGUGGGAGAGGCCCAGGCUGGGCAGGCAUUGUCUACCUGACUCUGCAGGUGUGUCUUACAGUCCUCAGCUCACAGGGGAGGGAGCCGGCUCCACGGGGAUGGCGGGCCUCCCCAGCAGAUGGGGAAACCGAGGCUCAGAGUGGCGUUGUGACCGCCAGAGGCCCCACAGCCGUGCUGCUUCUGCCUCCGCCAAGGCUCUCACUGACGUUCCCAGGAGGAGGACACAGUCAGCCCACAUCUUCCUUUUAAGCGGCUUGAAUUUUUUAUGUUAAUUACAGAGAGAAUUCACAUUUAUUAUUGAAAAAUCAGAAAACUCAAGCAAUAAAGUGAGGACAAAAGCCAGAAUCUGUAUUCUUCAAGCAAUCAUUAACAUACGGGUGUGUAUCCUUCGGGAGGACUCUUUUUUUUCUUCCCCAAACAAAGGACAAGAAAACAAAUUGCACAGGACACAUUUCUUUACUGUCCUCUAAGGACAGUUCCAUCUGUCCGGGGUGCCCACCUCGCUUGGUGAGCGCAGUCGUUGGGGUUCUCAGACACAGCAGGCUGGCCCAGCCUUCCGUCCCCGAGCAGCCCUGGCUCAUUUUCUCAGUCCCCUAUUGCUGGACUUGUAGGUUGGUGCGAUAUUUUUGUGGUUAGAGCAUUACUCCGAAGAGCGGGCAGUGAAGGGUUUGUACUCGUUGGGGACUCCCUGUGUGGGGUGAAUGAGUAGGGGUGCACACCCCCGCGUUGCAGACACAGGUUUGCGCAGGCAGUGUCUGGGGCGUGGAGGGCGCUCCGCUCCUGGGAAGCUGCUUUGUGGUCAGAGGAUGAGACAGGGAGGGGCUCUCAUGAGAAAUUUGCAGGGAGAGGGGUUCAUCCUGGCACCCUGGGUGAUACUGGCAGCCUUUCUGCUCCUGUGGGGGCGGUGGGUGGAGGCCGAGGCCAAGGAGGAGGUGUGCCUCUGCCCCGGGGCUGCGGGGUGACUGCGGAGCCUGGAACCCUGCGGCCUCCUGCACCAGGGCCUGGGGUUCAGUUUGGGAGCUCAUCCUGUGUGGUCUGGGGGGUUGGGUCAGGAGUGGGAUUGAGUCUGGCUUUGUCCUUAGGUUCUGGUCCUGAGGCCCCAGGUGAGUGGCCUUCCCUCCCAGCACGGCCCAUUUCCCAUCUGUGGGAAGAGGCUUACCAGCCCUGCUUCAUUGCCGACACUCUGAACAGGACAAGGUGCCAGACUUCCUCCAGGGCCCAUGUCUCAGCUUCCCUAGGGAAGGAUUACCCGGAUACCAGGGAAGACAGAAGAGCGUGACCGCCCCCACAUACCCAUCCCUUAGCUGCCACCUUCCCACUCUUGGCCAGUCCUCCCUCUUUCCUCCCCUCCAGACCUAUUGCUUCAUCUGGACAAGUUGUAGCAGAUGGGCCUGGCUGUCCACGGGGUGGUGUAUCUUUAUUACUG